AGUGGCGGACGGGUGAGUAACGCGUGAGAAUCUGCCUUGGGGUCGGGGACAACCACUGGAAACGGUGGCUAAUACCGGAUAAGCCGAUUGGUGAAAGAUUUAUUGCCCGAAGAGGAGCCCGCGUCUGAUUAGCUAGUUGGUGAGGUAAGAGCUCACCAAGGCAGCGAUCAGUAGCUGGUCUGAGAGGACGAUCAGCCACACUGGGACUGAGACACGGCCCAGACUCCUACGGGAGGCAGCAGUGGGGAAUUUUCCGCAAUGGGCGAAAGCCUGACGGAGCAAGACCGCGUGAGGGAGGAAGGCUCUUGGGUUGUAAACCUCUUUUCUCAGGGAAGAAGCUCUGACGGUACCUGAGGAAUCAGCCUCGGCUAACUCCGUGCCAGCAGCCGCGGUAAUACGGAGGAGGCAAGCGUUAUCCGGAAUUAUUGGGCGUAAAGCGUCCGCAGGUGGCGAUUCAAGUCUGCUGUCAAAGCACGGGGCUUAACUCCGUAAAGGCAGUGGAAACUGAAUAGCUAGAGUGCCGUAGGGGUAGAGGGAAUUCCCGGUGUAGCGGUGAAAUGCGUAGAGAUCGGGAAGAACAUCGGUGGCGAAAGCGCUCUACUGGACGGCAACUGACACUCAGGGACGAAAGCUAGGGGAGCGAAUGGGAUUAGAUACCCC
Molecule: ribosomal RNA, 660 nt
Filed under: uncultured bacterium
Lineage: Bacteria
Description: bacterial SSU rRNA
Rfam family: Bacterial small subunit ribosomal RNA
Source: RNAcentral